This 467-nucleotide ribosomal RNA is filed under the name uncultured bacterium. Its description in RNAcentral is "bacterial SSU rRNA". It matches the Rfam family "Bacterial small subunit ribosomal RNA", at positions 355 to 825 of the family's 1533-position model. The record is from RNAcentral.
UGAGGAAUAUUGGACAAUGGGCGCAAGCCUGAUCCAGCCAUGCCGCGUGCAGGAUGACGGUCCUAUGGAUUGUAAACUGCUUUUGUACAGGAAGAAACAGUUCUACGUGUAGAACCUUGACGGUACUGUAAGAAUAAGGAUCGGCUAACUCCGUGCCAGCAGCCGCGGUAAUACGGAGGAUCCAAGCGUUAUCCGGAAUCAUUGGGUUUAAAGGGUCCGUAGGCGGUUAGAUAAGUCAGUGGUGAAAGCCCAUCGCUCAACGGUGGAACGGCCAUUGAUACUGUCUGACUUGAAUUAUUAGGAAGUAACUAGAAUAUGUAGUGUAGCGGUGAAAUGCUUAGAGAUUACAUGGAAUACCAAUUGCGAAGGCAGGUUACUACUAAUGGAUUGACGCUGAUGGACGAAAGCGUGGGUAGCAAACGGGAUUAGAUACCCAUGUAGUCCCUGAGCGGGCUGGCAAGGCGCAU